Molecule: ribosomal RNA, 243 nt
Filed under: uncultured bacterium
Lineage: Bacteria
Description: partial 16S ribosomal RNA
Rfam family: Bacterial small subunit ribosomal RNA
Source: RNAcentral
GUAGGGAGCGAGCGUUGUCCGGAAUGACUGGGUGUAAAGGGAGCGUAGGCGGGAUGGCAAGUCAGAUGUGAAAACUGAGGGCUCAACCUUCAGACUGCAUUUGAAACUGCUGUUCUUGAGUGAGGUAGAGGUAAGCGGAAUUCCUGGUGUAGCGGUGAAAUGCGUAGAGAUCAGGAGGAACAUCGGUGGCGAAGGCGGCUUACUGGGUCUUUACUGACGCUGAGGCUCGAAAGCGUGGGGAGC